This 636-nucleotide ribosomal RNA is filed under the name uncultured bacterium. RNAcentral describes it as "bacterial SSU rRNA". It matches the Rfam family "Bacterial small subunit ribosomal RNA", at positions 202 to 842 of the family's 1533-position model. The record is from RNAcentral.
UAAAGAAUUUCGGUUAUCGAUGGGGAUGCGUUCCAUUAGUUAGUUGGCGGGGUAACGGCCCACCAAGACGACGAUGGAUAGGGGUUCUGAGAGGAAGGUCCCCCACAUUGGAACUGAGACACGGUCCAAACUCCUACGGGAGGCAGCAGUGAGGAAUAUUGGUCAAUGGACGAGAGUCUGAACCAGCCAAGUAGCGUGAAGGAUGACUGCCCUAUGGGUUGUAAACUUCUUUUAUAUGGGAAUAAAACAGGGUAUGCAUACCCUCUUGUAUGUACCAUAUGAAUAAGGAUCGGCUAACUCCGUGCCAGCAGCCGCGGUAAUACGGAGGAUCCGAGCGUUAUCCGGAUUUAUUGGGUUUAAAGGGAGCGUAGGUGGAUUGUUAAGUCAGUUGUGAAAGUUUGCGGCUCAACCGUAAAAUUGCAGUUGAAACUGGCAGUCUUGAGUACAGUAGAGGUGGGCGGAAUUCGUGGUGUAGCGGUGAAAUGCUUAGAUAUCACGAAGAACUCCGAUUGCGAAGGCAGCUCACUGGACUGCAACUGACACUGAUGCUCGAAAGUGUGGGUAUCAAACAGGAUUAGAUACCCUGGUAGUCCACACACUAAACGAUGAAUACUCGCUGUUUGCGAUAUACAGUAA